CGCACAGUAAACGAUGAAUACCAGCUGUUGGCGAUAGACAGUCAGCGGCGUAAGCGAAAGCGUUAAGUAUUCCACCUGGGGAGUACGCCGGCAACGGUGAAACUCAAAGGAAUUGACGGGGACCCGCACAAGCAGCGGAGCAUGUGGUUUAAUUCGAAGCAACGCGAAGAACCUUACCUGGACUUGACAUCCCCUGAAUGACUCGUAAUGGAGGAAGCCCUACGGGGCAGGGAGACAGGUGG
This 242-nucleotide ribosomal RNA is filed under the name uncultured bacterium. Its description in RNAcentral is "partial 16S ribosomal RNA". It matches the Rfam family "Bacterial small subunit ribosomal RNA", at positions 796 to 1041 of the family's 1533-position model. The record is from RNAcentral.